AGAGUUUGAUCCUGGCUCAGAACAAACGCUGGCGGCGUGCCUAAUACAUGCAAGUCGAACGGGGAAAGCUUUCGGGUGAGUACUAGUGGCGCACGGGUGAGGAAUACAUGGGUAAUCUGCCCUCGAGUUGGGGAUAACCAGUCGAAAGAUUGGCUAAUACCGGAUAAGACCACAGGAUCUGCGGAUCUAGGGGUUAAAGGUUUUUCGCUUGAGGAUGAGCCCAUGUGGGAUUAGCUAGUUGGUGAGGUAAUGGCUCACCAAGGCGACGAUCCCUAACUGGUCUUAGAGGAUGAUCAGUCACACUGGAACUGUGACACGGUCCAGACUCCUACGGGAGGCAGCAGUAGGGAAUAUUGCACAAUGGGGGAAACCCUGAUGCAGCGACGCCGCGUGAGUGAUGAAGGCCUUCGGGUCGUAAAGCUCUGUCGUAUGGGACUAACACAAUGAAGGUACCAUGCAAGAAAGGAUCGGCUAACUUCGUGCCAGCAGCCGCGGUAAGACGAGGGAUCCUAGCGUUGUUCGGAAUUAUUGGGCGUAAAGCGGGUGUAGGCGGACUUGUAAGUCAGAUGUGAAAUCCCAGGGCUCAACCCUGGAAGUGCACUUGAUACUGCAAGUCUUGAGUGUGGUAGAGGCUAUUAGAAUUCCUGGUGUAGUGGUGAAAUACGUAGAUAUCAGGAGGAAUACCGGAGGCGAAGGCGGAUAGCUGGGCCAACACUGACGCUGAGACCCGAAAGCGUGGGGAUCAAACAGGAUUAGAUACCCUGGUAGUCG
RNAcentral lists this ribosomal RNA (771 nucleotides) under uncultured bacterium. RNAcentral's name for it is "bacterial SSU rRNA". It matches the Rfam family "Bacterial small subunit ribosomal RNA", at positions 8 to 796 of the family's 1533-position model. The record is from RNAcentral.